RNAcentral lists this ribosomal RNA (253 nucleotides) under uncultured bacterium. RNAcentral describes it as "partial 16S ribosomal RNA". It matches the Rfam family "Bacterial small subunit ribosomal RNA", at positions 524 to 776 of the family's 1533-position model. The record is from RNAcentral.
UACGUAGGGUGCAGGCGUUAAUCGGAAUUACUGGGCGUAAAGCGUGCGCAGGCGGUUUGCUAAGACAGGUGUGAAAUCCCCGGGCUUAACCUGGGAACUGCGCUUGUUACUGGCAAGCUGGAGUGUGGCAGAGGGGGGUGGAAUUCCACGUGUAGCAGUGAAAUGCGUAGAUAUCAGGAGGAAUACCGAUGGCGAAGGCAGGUCUCUGGGCUGACACUGACGCUCAUGCACGAAAGCGUGGGGAGCAAACAGG